This 364-nucleotide long non-coding RNA is filed under the name Ananas comosus (pineapple). Its description in RNAcentral is "long non-coding RNA (ACOM_LNC002280)". Lineage: Eukaryota; Viridiplantae; Streptophyta; Magnoliopsida; Poales; Bromeliaceae. The record is from RNAcentral.
UUUUGGUGUAUUCAACUUUUGUAUGUUGAACUUGUAAUGUAAAGAAUAAUAAAGAUGUAAACUUUAUUUUGGUUAAAGGUAAAAGUGAUGUAAAUGAUUGGUAAAAGCAGGAAUGUAAAUGUAAUAGUUUAUUUGUGUUUGAUACAAAUGUAAUCAAAUGACUUGUAUGUUAAAUGCUUAGAUAGUUUCGAUGCUUUCACUUAUGUUGUUGUUGUUUGCCCUCGUGCAAACCUUAUAUAUCUUGCAAUUUUCUUGUUGACUUGCUUGUAAUAUACAUGUUGUUGGAGCCUUGGACGGACAGGGGAGGUGCUGUCCGUUCGGCGUCUGUUCGCGUGCCCGAACCGACCAAAUUGGCGGCUCCGGG